UAGAGUAGCUCAGUUGAUUAGUGUGUAUGGCUAUUAACCAUAACGUUGAAGGUUCAAGCCCUUCUUCUA
RNAcentral lists this transfer RNA (69 nucleotides) under Ipomoea nil (Japanese morning glory). It matches the Rfam family "tRNA". From Rfam's summary of the family: Transfer RNA (tRNA) molecules are approximately 80 nucleotides in length. Their secondary structure includes four short double-helical elements and three loops (D, anti-codon, and T loops). The record is from Rfam by way of RNAcentral. Lineage: Eukaryota; Viridiplantae; Streptophyta; Magnoliopsida; Solanales; Convolvulaceae.